AGCCCUGUAGCUCAAUGGUGGAGCAACUGUCCUACAAACAGAGGGUUACAGGUACCCUGUGGGAAGCCGCUCCGCGUCUACAAAUCCUGUCAGGGCUA
This 98-nucleotide transfer RNA is filed under the name Calothrix sp. PCC 7507. It matches the Rfam family "tRNA". Rfam says of the family: Transfer RNA (tRNA) molecules are approximately 80 nucleotides in length. Their secondary structure includes four short double-helical elements and three loops (D, anti-codon, and T loops). Lineage: Bacteria; Bacillati; Cyanobacteriota; Cyanophyceae; Nostocales; Calotrichaceae. The record is from Rfam by way of RNAcentral.